GACGAACGCUGGCGGCGUGCUUAACACAUGCAAGUCGAACGGAAAGGCCCUGCUUUUGUGGGGUGCUCGAGUGGCGAACGGGUGAGUAACACGUGAGUAACCUGCCCUUGACUUUGGGAUAACUUCAGGAAACGGGGGCUAAUACCGGAUAGGAGCUCCUGCUGCAUGGUGGGGGUUGGAAAGUUUCGGCGGUUGGGGAUGGACUCGCGGCUUAUCAGCUUGUUGGUGGGGUAGUGGCUUACCAAGGCUUUGACGGGUAGCCGGCCUGAGAGGGUGACCGGCCACAUUGGGACUGAGAUACGGCCCAGACUCCUACGGGAGGCAGCAGUGGGGAAUAUUGCACAAUGGGCGGAAGCCUGAUGCAGCAACGCCGCGUGCGGGAUGACGGCCUUCGGGUUGUAAACCGCUUUCGCCUGUGACGAAGCGUGAGUGACGGUAAUGAGUAAAGAAGCACCGGCUAACUACGUG
RNAcentral lists this ribosomal RNA (468 nucleotides) under uncultured bacterium. RNAcentral describes it as "partial 16S ribosomal RNA". It matches the Rfam family "Bacterial small subunit ribosomal RNA", at positions 28 to 507 of the family's 1533-position model. The record is from RNAcentral.